GGUUAAGCGACUAAGCGUACACGGUGGAUGCCCUGGCAGUCAGAGGCGAUGAAGGACGUGCUAAUCUGCGAUAAGCGUCGGUAAGGUGAUAUGAACCGUUAUAACCGGCGAUUUCCGAAUGGGGAAACCCAGUGUGAUUCGUCACACUAUCAUUAACUGAAUCCAUAGGUUAAUGAGGCGAACCGGGGGAACUGAAACAUCUAAGUACCCCGAGGAAAAGAAAUCAACCGAGAUUCCCCCAGUAGCGGCGAGCGAACGGGGAGCAGCCCAGAGCCUGAAUCAGUGUGUGUGUUAGUGGAAGCGUCUGGAAAGGCGCGCGAUACAGGGUGACAGCCCCGUACACAAAAAUGCACAUGCUGUGAGCUCGAUGAGUAGGGCGGGACACGUGGUAUCCUGUCUGAAUAUGGGGGGACCAUCCUCCAAGGCUAAAUACUCCUGACUGACCGAUAGUGAACCAGUACCGUGAGGGAAAGGCGAAAAGAACCCCGGCGAGGGGAGUGAAAAAGAACCUGAAACCGUGUACGUACAAGCAGUGGGAGCACGCUUAGGCGUGUGACUGCGUACCUUUUGUAUAAUGGGUCAGCGACUUAUAUUCUGUAGCAAGGUUAACCGAAUAGGGGAGCCGAAGGGAAACCGAGUCUUAACUGGGCGUUAAGUUGCAGGGUAUAGACCCGAAACCCGGUGAUCUAGCCAUGGGCAGGUUGAAGGUUGGGUAACACUAACUGGAGGACCGAACCGACUAAUGUUGAAAAAUUAGCGGAUGACUUGUGGCUGGGGGUGAAAGGCCAAUCAAACCGGGAGAUAGCUGGUUCUCCCCGAAAGCUAUUUAGGUAGCGCCUCGUGAAUUCAUCUCCGGGGGUAGAGCACUGUUUCGGCAAGGGGGUCAUCCCGACUUACCAACCCGAUGCAAACUGCGAAUACCGGAGAAUGUUAUCACGGGAGACACACGGCGGGUGCUAACGUCCGUCGUGAAGAGGGAAACAACCCAGACCGCCAGCUAAGGUCCCAAAGUCAUGGUUAAGUGGGAAACGAUGUGGGAAGGCCCAGACAGCCAGGAUGUUGGCUUAGAAGCAGCCAUCAUUUAAAGAAAGCGUAAUAGCUCACUGGUCGAGUCGGCCUGCGCGGAAGAUGUAACGGGGCUAAACCAUGCACCGAAGCUGCGGCAGCGACGCUUAUGCGUUGUUGGGUAGGGGAGCGUUCUGUAAGCCUGUGAAGGUGUGCUGUGAGGCAUGCUGGAGGUAUCAGAAGUGCGAAUGCUGACAUAAGUAACGAUAAAGCGGGUGAAAAGCCCGCUCGCCGGAAGACCAAGGGUUCCUGUCCAACGUUAAUCGGGGCAGGGUGAGUCGACCCCUAAGGCGAGGCCGAAAGGCGUAGUCGAUGGGAAACAGGUUAAUAUUCCUGUACUUGGUGUUACUGCGAAGGGGGGACGGAGAAGGCUAUGUUGGCCGGGCGACGGUUGUCCCGGUUUAAGCGUGUAGGCUGGUUUUCCAGGCAAAUCCGGAAAAUCAAGGCUGAGGCGUGAUGACGAGGCACUACGGUGCUGAAGCAACAAAUGCCCUGCUUCCAGGAAAAGCCUCUAAGCAUCAGGUAACAUCAAAUCGUACCCCAAACCGACACAGGUGGUCAGGUAGAGAAUACCAAGGCGCUUGAGAGAACUCGGGUGAAGGAACUAGGCAAAAUGGUGCCGUAACUUCGGGAGAAGGCACGCUGAUAUGUAGGUGAAG
RNAcentral lists this ribosomal RNA (1724 nucleotides) under Escherichia coli. Its description in RNAcentral is "partial 23S ribosomal RNA". It matches the Rfam family "Bacterial large subunit ribosomal RNA", at positions 1 to 1767 of the family's 2925-position model. Lineage: Bacteria; Pseudomonadati; Pseudomonadota; Gammaproteobacteria; Enterobacterales; Enterobacteriaceae. The record is from RNAcentral.